GGGUUGGGGCAACCCAGCAACCGGCGAACGGGUGCGUAACACGUAAGCGACCUGCCCUGGAGUGGGGGAUAGCCGGCCCAACGGCCGGGUAAUACCGCAUACGACGAUUGGGGGGCAUUCCCUGGUCGUGAAACCUGCGGGGCUCUGGGAGGGGCUUGCGGCCUAUCAGCUAGUUGGCGGGGUAACGGCCCACCAAGGCGAUGACGGGUAGCUGGUCUGAGAGGAUGGCCAGCCACAUUGGGACUGAGAGACGGCCCAGACUCCUACGGGAGGCAGCAGUGGGGAAUCUUGCGCAAUGGCCGAAAGGCUGACGCAGCGACGCCGCGUGGAGGAUGACGCCCUUCGGGGUGUAAACUCCUGUUGCCCGGGACGAACGAGUGGUUUCGACCACUGUGACGGUACCGGGUGAGGAAGCACCGGCUAACUCUGUGCCAGCAGCCGCGGUAAUACAGAGGGUGCGAGCGUUGUCCGGAAUCACUGGGCGUAAAGGGCGCGUAGGCGGCUGGGUAAGCGUGUGGUGAAAGUCCGGGGCUCAACCCCGGAUCGGCCAUGCGAACUGUCCAGCUGGAGCACGGUAGAGGCACAUGGAAUUCCGGGUGUAGCGGUGGAAUGCGUAGAGAUCCGGAAGAACACCGGUGGCGAAGGCGGUGUGCUGGGCCGUAGCUGACGCUGAGGCGCGACAGCGUGGGGAGCAAACAGGAUUAGAUACCCUGGUAGUCCACGCCGUAAACGAUGGGCACUAGGUCCUUGGGGGAGCGACCCCG
Molecule: ribosomal RNA, 764 nt
Filed under: uncultured bacterium
Lineage: Bacteria
Description: bacterial SSU rRNA
Rfam family: Bacterial small subunit ribosomal RNA
Source: RNAcentral